This is a long non-coding RNA of Engraulis encrasicolus (European anchovy), 355 nucleotides long. RefSeq lists it as uncharacterized. NCBI's taxonomy places the organism in Eukaryota, Metazoa, Chordata, Actinopteri, Clupeiformes, Engraulidae. The transcript has 3 exons. The record is from RefSeq and is a predicted model, not a curated record.
CCAAGGUGCAUCUAUCAAUCAAAUCAUAACGCUCUGCUGUGUCUCUGCUCUCAGCGCAUCCGCGCCAUGUCUUCUCGCAUAGCCUAAGAUGGUGUCUCCUUGUAAGCGGUAGUUAAGCCGAUUUUGAAGCCACCACCACCCCUCCGUCCACCGUCACCAGAGGUUCCCGUCUGUUAGGGGGCAGGCUACGCCCGCCUCCAUCUCCGCUGGAGGAUAUGCUGUCCUAUCCCGGAGUUCAACGCGAAGACGGGAACCUUCGCCAAACUGAUUCAUGCAUUUUAUCAAGUGUUAUUGUUCGCCAAACUUUUAUGCAUUCCUGUAUCAUGUCUAAUGUUCAAUAAAUGUUAAUAACGUU